Molecule: long non-coding RNA, 919 nt
Organism: Misgurnus anguillicaudatus (oriental weatherfish)
Lineage: Eukaryota; Metazoa; Chordata; Actinopteri; Cypriniformes; Cobitidae
Source: RefSeq, a predicted model, not a curated record
AGCCGCUUCCCUUCAAGUGUCGAACAUCCACAACUUUGUUGUGAUGUCAGGUGUGGUAAGGGUCGGACCGAGACGCUUGUAAAUGGUAUCAAGGUAAGGUGGGUAGCUGGUUGCUGCAAGCCGAGUCUCGGACCGGCCCGUAACAGCGGCAGCCGUCAGGAUGCGUCGGGGGCAGUAUCCGGCCAGGAUACAUCAAAGCCGCUGUUGAUUACAACCGGCAUGACUUGGGAGGGCGAGUCAAGCCAACAAGAGCGGACAAGGCCGGAACUUUCCCAACGGUACCUAACUCUUCUCUCUUCUUUGCCCUAGGAGAGGGGAAGCGAGGCGGGCGAUACCGAGGCUGACUGUCAAGUCCUGUUCCAGAAGGUACCGGCAGAAGGAAUCGGAGGGCCUGGGACAGCAGGGGCCUCGUAAUGAUUAAAGUGACCGAAAGAACUAAGGGCUGAGGCUUGAUACUCGUAUUCAUGGUUAAGAGGUCAUCAUUUGUGCGCGAUCUACUAGAUGGCAGAUUUCAAAACAAUUUAUUCUUGAGAGGAGGCACCACAGUUAAAGACAGUGUUUUGAAGAAUUAUGAACUUCCUGCUCACAAACUACAUACUUCUCCAGUUAGUCUGACAGGCUAUCAAUGAGAAGGCGGCAUUACAGGACACCACUGAAAACUAUACCACUAAAAACUGAUUAUUGCUGCAGUCAGCAGAAACAGCAACUAUCUGCUACAGACCAAGAGAUUGAGCACUGGGUUAAGACAUGGUUGCAGCUUGCCACAGACAGAGAUGGAGGUCGUUGGGCAAAAGAGAAGAUUUAAAGGCAUAGCUCACCCAAAAAUGGAAACUCAUUCACUUACCAUCAAGAUGUUUCAAACUCUAUCAAAUGUAUUUGUUCAGUUACUGACUGUUAUAAAUUAAACAGGUUUGGAACA